This 472-nucleotide ribosomal RNA is filed under the name uncultured bacterium. RNAcentral's name for it is "bacterial SSU rRNA". It matches the Rfam family "Bacterial small subunit ribosomal RNA", at positions 915 to 1391 of the family's 1533-position model. The record is from RNAcentral.
GGGGGCCCGCAAGCGGUGGAGCAUGUGGUUCAAUUCGACGCAACGCGAAGAACCUUACCUGGGCUCGAAAUGUAGUGGACCGGGGUGGAAACAUCCCUUUUCGCAAGAACUGCUAUAUAGGUGCUGCAUGGCUGUCGUCAGCUCGUGUCGUGAGAUGUUGGGUUAAGUCCCGCAACGAGCGCAACCCUUAUUGUCAGUUGCCAUCAUUCAGUUGGGCACUCUGGCGAAACCGCCUCGGAUAACGGGGAGGAAGGUGGGGAUGACGUCAAGUCCUCAUGGCCUUUAUGUCCAGGGCUACACACGUGCUACAAUGGUCGGUACAAACCGUCGCAAACCCGCGAGGGGGAGCUAAUCGGAAAAAGCCGACCUCAGUUCGGAUUGGAGUCUGCAACUCGACUCCAUGAAGCUGGAAUCGCUAGUAAUCGCGGAUCAGAACGCCGCGGUGAAUACGUUCCCGGGCCUUGUACACACC